AAUAGAUACCCCGGUAGUCCACGCCGUAAACGAUGAGUACUAGGUGUCGGGGGUUACCCCCCUCGGUGCCGCAGCUAACGCAUUAAGUACUCCGCCUGGGAAGUACGCUCGCAAGAGUGAAACUCAAAGGAUUAAAAAAAAAAAAAGCGGGGACCCGCACAAGUAGCGGAGCAUGUGGUUUAAUUCGAAGCAACGCGAAGAACCUUACCUAAGCUUGACAUCCCAAUGACCUCUCCCUAAUCGGAGAUUUCCCUUCGGGGACAUUGGUGACAGGUGGUGCAUGGUUGUCGUCAGCUCGUGUCGUGAGAUGUUGGGUUAAGUCCCGCAACGAGCGCAACCCUUGUCUUUAGUUGCCAGCAUUAAGUUGGGCACUCUAGAGAGACUGCCGAGGAUAACUCGGAGGAAGGUGGGGAUGACGUCAAAUCAUCAUGCCCCUUAUGCUUAGGGCUACACACGUGCUACAAUGGGUGGUACAGAGGGUAGCCGAAACCGUGGGGUGGAGCUAAUCCCUUAAAGCCAUUCUCAGUUCGGAUUGUAGGCUGAAACUCGCCUACA
Molecule: ribosomal RNA, 555 nt
Filed under: uncultured bacterium
Lineage: Bacteria
Description: partial 16S ribosomal RNA
Rfam family: Bacterial small subunit ribosomal RNA
Source: RNAcentral